This 70-nucleotide transfer RNA is filed under the name Oryzias latipes (Japanese medaka). Its description in RNAcentral is "tRNA-Tyr". It matches the Rfam family "tRNA". Rfam says of the family: Transfer RNA (tRNA) molecules are approximately 80 nucleotides in length. The record is from RNAcentral. Lineage: Eukaryota; Metazoa; Chordata; Actinopteri; Beloniformes; Adrianichthyidae.
GGUAAGGUGGCUGAGUAUUAAGCGGUGGAUUGUAGCCCCAUGGACAGAGGUUAGAUUCCUCUUCUUACCA